This 253-nucleotide ribosomal RNA is filed under the name Lachnospira eligens. Its description in RNAcentral is "partial 16S ribosomal RNA". It matches the Rfam family "Bacterial small subunit ribosomal RNA", at positions 524 to 776 of the family's 1533-position model. Lineage: Bacteria; Bacillati; Bacillota; Clostridia; Lachnospirales; Lachnospiraceae. The record is from RNAcentral.
UACGUAUGGAGCAAGUGUUAUCCGGAUUUACUGGGUGUAAAGGGAGUGUAGGUGGCCAUGCAAGUCAGAAGUGAAAAUCCGGGGCUCAACCCCGGAACUGCUUUUGAAACUGUAAGGCUGGAGUGCAGGAGGGGUGAGUGGAAUUCCUAGUGUAGCGGUGAAAUGCGUAGAUAUUAGGAGGAACACCAGUGGCGAAGGCGGCUCACUGGACUGUAACUGACACUGAGGCUCGAAAGCGUGGGGAGCAAACAGG